This 253-nucleotide ribosomal RNA is filed under the name uncultured bacterium. RNAcentral describes it as "partial 16S ribosomal RNA". It matches the Rfam family "Bacterial small subunit ribosomal RNA", at positions 524 to 776 of the family's 1533-position model. The record is from RNAcentral.
UACGUAGGGGGCUAGCGUUGUCCGGAAUCAUUGGGCGUAAAGCGCGUGUAGGCGGUCCGGUAAGUCCGCUGUGAAAGUCGGGGGCUCAACCCUCGAAUGCCGGUGGAUACUGCCGGGCUAGAGUCCGGAAGAGGCGAGUGGAACUCCUGGUGUAGCGGUGGAAUGCGCAGAUAUCAGGAAGAACACCAACGGCGAAGGCAGCUCGCUGGGACGGUACUGACGCUGAGACGCGAAAGCGUGGGGAGCGAACAGG